CAACCGCUCUGAACAAUCGCGCAAUAUCAUAUCGAAAGAUCAUAUUGUGAGGAAAGUCCGGGCUCCACAGAGCAGGAUAACGGAUAACGUCCGCCGAAGGCAACUUUAGGGCUAGUGCAACAGAAAUAAACCGCCAUGCAAAUGGCAAGGAUGGAAAGGCGAGGUAAGAGCUCACCGGCACAUAGGCGACUAUGUGGCCAUGUAAACCCUAUCCGGAGCAACACCGUAAUAUUGGACAUAUAUGCUUGCUCGGCAGUCCAGCGAGGUGGCAGAGAAGUAUAUGGCAACAUAUGCUCAAGAUAGAUGAUUGUUCACGACAGAACCCGGCUUACAGGAGCGGUUGACUU
This 347-nucleotide RNase P RNA is filed under the name Eubacteriales bacterium OttesenSCG-928-G02. Its description in RNAcentral is "RNase P RNA component class A". It matches the Rfam family "Bacterial RNase P class A". Rfam says of the family: Ribonuclease P (RNase P) is a ubiquitous endoribonuclease, found in archaea, bacteria and eukarya as well as chloroplasts and mitochondria. Its best characterised activity is the generation of mature 5'-ends of tRNAs by cleaving the 5'-leader elements of precursor-tRNAs. Lineage: Bacteria; Bacillati; Bacillota; Clostridia; Eubacteriales. The record is from RNAcentral.